AGAAAGCGGAAUACCUGAGUCUGCAGAGAAGAAUGACGAAAGUGAAAGGGAAAGGCCUACUUAUAGUAAAAACAAGGGCACAUUUCCCAAACGUAAUCAUUAGGUCUAGAAUGGCCUAAAUGAGCCUCAAGGGCCGCCUACAUUCCCAAAAACCUACUCGCGACGGUUUUGUUUCUCGAUUGGAUAGUCAAACCGGAAUCAAUCUCCGAUUUUGAUCUAAACUGAUUCCCGGUCGAACAGCGAAACCGGCCCCAUCAUUUCAC
Molecule: long non-coding RNA, 263 nt
Filed under: Brassica napus (rape)
Lineage: Eukaryota; Viridiplantae; Streptophyta; Magnoliopsida; Brassicales; Brassicaceae
Description: long non-coding RNA (BNAP_LNC011302)
Source: RNAcentral